GGGCCCGCACAAGUGGUGGAGCAUGUGGUUUAAUUCGAUGCAACGCGAAGAACCUUACCAACCCUUGAAAUCUAGCGAAGUUCACAGAGAUGAGAAUGUGCCUUCGGGAACGCUAUGACAGGUGUUGCAUGGCUGUCGUCAGCUCGUGUCGUGAGAUGUAUGGUUAAGUCCCGUAACGAGCGCAACCCUUGUCCUUAGUUGCCAGCACAUUAUGGUGGGAACUCUAAGGAGACUGCCGGUGACAAACCGGAGGAAGGUGGGGACGACGUCAAGUCCUCAUGGCCCUUACGUGUUGGGCUACACACGUGCUACAAUGGUAUCUACAACAGGAAGCAAAACUGCGAGGUUAAGCAAAUCCUUAAAAGAUACCUCAGUUCGGAUUGCACUCUGCAACUCGAGUGCAUGAAGCUGGAAUUACUAGUAAUCG
Molecule: ribosomal RNA, 427 nt
Filed under: uncultured bacterium
Lineage: Bacteria
Description: bacterial SSU rRNA
Rfam family: Bacterial small subunit ribosomal RNA
Source: RNAcentral